AAACCCACAAACCUCUCUGUUUCUUCUAUUAGGACUAUCCAAAGCUCUCUUCUCUUGUUCUUCCUCUGCUUCUUCUUCUUCUUCUUGACCUUCCUGUUUCUUCUUCUUCAAUCCAA
This 116-nucleotide small RNA is filed under the name Arabidopsis thaliana (thale cress). RNAcentral's name for it is "ATSL232310". Lineage: Eukaryota; Viridiplantae; Streptophyta; Magnoliopsida; Brassicales; Brassicaceae. The record is from RNAcentral.